CCUACGGGUGGCAGCAGUGGGGAAUAUUGGGCAAUGGGCGCAAGCCUGACCCAGCAACGCCGCGUGAAGGAAGAAGGCUUUCGGGUUGUAAACCUCUUUUGACAGGGAAGAGUAGAAGACGGUACCUGUCGAAUAAGCCACGGCUAACUACGUGCCAGCAGCCGCGGUAAUACGGAGGUGGCAAGCGUUGUCCGGAUUGACUGGGCGUAAAGGGUGCGUAGGUGGUUUGGCAAGUUAGUAGCGAAACUCCAAGGCUCAACCUUGGAACUACUACUAAAACUGUUGGACUUGAGUGCAGGAGGGGCAACCGGAAUUUCUAGUGUAGCGGUGAAAUGCGUAGAUAUUAGGAGGAACACCAGUGGCGAAGGCGGGUUGCUAGACUGUAACUGACACUGAGGCACGAAAGCGUGGGGAGCAAACAGGAUUAGAUACCCGAGUAGUC
This 442-nucleotide ribosomal RNA is filed under the name uncultured bacterium. RNAcentral's name for it is "partial 16S ribosomal RNA". It matches the Rfam family "Bacterial small subunit ribosomal RNA", at positions 338 to 795 of the family's 1533-position model. The record is from RNAcentral.